Cygnus olor (mute swan) is the source of this 404-nucleotide long non-coding RNA. RefSeq lists it as uncharacterized. The transcript has 3 exons. The record is from RefSeq and is a predicted model, not a curated record. NCBI's taxonomy places the organism in Eukaryota, Metazoa, Chordata, Aves, Anseriformes, Anatidae.
AAAGGUCAUAAUGACAAACUGGCACACAGCCAGCAUGUGAGAAGGCACCAAGCACACAGGGAUCAGUACCCUGACACUGAAAAGAAGUUGUAGAAACUAUAAAACAAAUUGAAAUUAUACCGUUUCUUUGGAAGCUGUGAAAACCUUGCUUUCAGCUGCACUUCAAGUCCAAAACAAUCAUCCUUUUGCAGAUAAAUCAUGAAGCAGAAAAAUAGACUGUCUCCUUUGCAGUUGCUUGAGCUGCUACAAAAAUUCCACUGCUCUGGGUUUUCAACAUAAGAGCUGAAAUCCAGGAUUUGACAUGUAUGAACCACACUGGGAAUUAGACGAAAAUCGAGAGCGCUCUGAAAUAGUUUUUUUUCUUCCAGCUAUAAUUAUGUUUUCUGUACUAAGCCAUAAUAAAA